This 465-nucleotide ribosomal RNA is filed under the name uncultured bacterium. RNAcentral describes it as "bacterial SSU rRNA". It matches the Rfam family "Bacterial small subunit ribosomal RNA", at positions 338 to 795 of the family's 1533-position model. The record is from RNAcentral.
CCUACGGGGGGCAGCAGUGGGGAAUAUUGCACAAUGGGGGAAACCCUGAUGCAGCCAUGCCGCGUGUGUGAAGAAGGCCUUCGGGUUGUAAAGCACUUUCAGCGAGGAGGAAAGGGUGUAAGUUAAUACCUUACAUCUGUGACGUUACUCGCAGAAGAAGCACCGGCUAACUCCGUGCCAGCAGCCGCGGUAAUACGGAGGGUGCGAGCGUUAAUCGGAAUUACUGGGCGUAAAGCGUGCGCAGGCGGUUUGUUAAGCGAGAUGUGAAAGCCCCGGGCUCAACCUGGGAACCGCAUUUCGAACUGGCAAACUAGAGUCUUGUAGAGGGGGGUAGAAUUCCAGGUGUAGCGGUGAAAUGCGUAGAGAUCUGGAGGAAUACCGGUGGCGAAGGCGGCCCCCUGGACAAAGACUGACGCUCAGGCACGAAAGCGUGGGGAGCAAACAGGAUUAGAUACCCCGGUAGUC